This 594-nucleotide ribosomal RNA is filed under the name uncultured Bacteroidota bacterium. Its description in RNAcentral is "bacterial SSU rRNA". It matches the Rfam family "Bacterial small subunit ribosomal RNA", at positions 122 to 715 of the family's 1533-position model. Lineage: Bacteria; Pseudomonadati; Bacteroidota. The record is from RNAcentral.
CAACCUGCCGCUUACUCGGGGAUAGCCUUUCGAAAGAAAGAUUAAUACCCGAUGGUAUAAAGAGUUCGCAUGUUCUCUUUAUUAAAGAAUUUCGGUAAGCGAUGGGGAUGCGUUCCAUUAGAUUGUUGGCGGGGUAACGGCCCACCAAGUCUACGAUGGAUAGGGGUUCUGAGAGGAAGGUCCCCCACAUUGGAACUGAGACACGGUCCAAACUCCNACGGGAGGCAGCAGUGAGGAAUAUUGGUCAAUGGACGCGAGUCUGAACCAGCCAAGUAGCGUGAAGGAUGACUGCCCUAUGGGUUGUAAACUUCUUUUAUAAAGGAAUAAAGUCGGGUAUGGAUACCCGUUUGCAUGUACUUUAUGAAUAAGGAUCGGCUAACUCCGCGCCAGCAGCCGCGGUAAUACGGAGGAUCCGAGCGUUAUCCGGAUUUAUUGGGUUUAAAGGGAGCGUAGAUGGAUGUUUAAGUCAGUUGUGAAAGUUUGCGGCUCAACCGUAAAAUUGCAGUUGAUACUGGAUAUCUUGAGUGCAGUUGAGGCAGGCGGAAUUCGUGGUGUAGCGGUGAAAUGCUUAGAUAUCACGAAGAACUCCGAUUG